UCAUUUAGUUGUCGAGCGGCGAACGGCUGAGUAACACGUUGGUACCUACCCCAGACUCAGGGAUAACACCGAGAAAUCGGUGCUAAUACCGGAUAGUCCUCGCCUUGUGCGGGGUAAAGAUUUAUCGGUUUGGGAGGGGCCUGCUGCCUAUCAGUUUGUUGGUGGGGUAAAAGCCUACCAAGACUAUGACGGGUAGCUGGUGUGAGAGCAUGACCAGCCAGAAUGGGACUGAGACACGGCCCAUACUCCUACGGGAGGCAGCAGUAAGGAAUCUUCCGCAAUGGACGAAAGUCUGACGGAGCGACACCGCGUGCAGGAUGACACCCUUUGGGGCGUAAACUGCUUUUCUGAGGGAUAAAAUUCUGAUAUUACCUCAGGAAUAAGCACCGGCUAACUACGUGCCAGCAGCCGCGGUAAUACGCAGGGUGCGAGCGUUAUCCGGAAUUACUGGGCGUAAAGCGUCCGCAGCCGGACUUGUAAGUCUGAUGUUAAAUCCCCCGGCUCAACCGGGGAAUCGUAUUGGAAACUGCAGGUCUAGAGUAGUACAGAGGUAUGUGGAAUUUGUGGUGUAGGGGUAAAAUCCGUUGAUACCAUGAGGAACACCAAAAGCGAAGGCAGCAUACUGGGUACAUACUGACGGUCAGGGACGAAAGCGUGGGUAGCGAAAAGGAUUAGAUACCCUUGUAGUCCACGCCCUAAACGAUGGAUACUCGGCGUCGGAGGAUUCGACCCCCUCGGUGCCUAAGCUAACGCAUUAAGUAUCCCGCCUGGGGAGUACGGUCGCAAGAUUAAAACUCAAAGGAAUAGACGGGGACCCACACAAGCGGUGGAGCAUGGGGUUUAAUUCGUCAAUACGCGGAGAACCUUACCAGGACUUGACAUCCCGAGAAUCCCGCAGAGAUGCAGGAGUGCCGCAAGGAAUUCGGUGACAGGUGCUGCAUGGUUGUCGUCAGCUCGUGCCUUGAGGUGUACGGUUAAGUCCGCUAACGAGCGCAACCCUCGUCGUAUGUUGUACGUUUCAUACGAGACUGCCUGGUACAACCAGGAGGAAGGUGAGGAUGACGUCAAAUCAGCAUGGCCCUUAUGUCCUGGGCCACACCCGUGCUACAAUGGGGUAAACAAAGCGCAGCAAUGCAGCAAUGCGGAGCCAAUCGCAAAGAUUACUUCUCAGUUCGGAUUGAGGGCUGCAACUCGCCCUCAUGAAGUUGGAAUCGCUAGUAAUCGUGAAUCAGCUACGUCACGGUGAAUAUGUUCCUGGGUCUUGUACUCACCGCCCGUCAAAUCACGAAAGGAGGGGGCGCCCGAAGUCGUGUUAGUCUUUUUAAGACGCAUGCCUAAGGUGAAAUCUCUGAUUGGGAUUAAGUCGUAACAAGGUA
RNAcentral lists this ribosomal RNA (1376 nucleotides) under metagenome. RNAcentral's name for it is "bacterial SSU rRNA". It matches the Rfam family "Bacterial small subunit ribosomal RNA". The record is from RNAcentral.